GGGAUAUUGCACAAUGGGGGGAACCCUGAUGCAGCGACGCCGCGUGGGUGAAGAAGCGCCUCGGCGCGUAAAGCCCUGUCAGCAGGGAAGAAAAUGACGGUACCUGAGUAAGAAGCCCCGGCUAACUACGUGCCAGCAGCCGCGGUAAUACGUAGGGGGCAAGCGUUAUCCGGAAUUACUGGGUGUAAAGGGAGCGUAGACGGUGAAGUAAGUCUGGAGUGAAAGGCGGGGGCCCAACCCCCGGACUGCUCUGGAAACUAUUUGACUGGAGUGCAGGAGAGGUAAGCGGAAUUCCUAGUGUAGCGGUGAAAUGCGUAGAUAUUAGGAGGAACACCAGUGGCGAAGGCGGCUUACUGGACUGUAACUGACGUUGAGGCUCGAAAGCGUGGGGAGCAAACA
Molecule: ribosomal RNA, 399 nt
Filed under: uncultured bacterium
Lineage: Bacteria
Description: bacterial SSU rRNA
Rfam family: Bacterial small subunit ribosomal RNA
Source: RNAcentral